Mytilus californianus (California mussel) is the source of this 607-nucleotide long non-coding RNA. RefSeq lists it as uncharacterized. The transcript is spliced from 2 exons. The record is from RefSeq and is a predicted model, not a curated record. Lineage: Eukaryota; Metazoa; Mollusca; Bivalvia; Mytilida; Mytilidae.
UUAUGUAAAUACAUGUUAUCUUACUAAUGAGAAUUGUUUAUUACUUUAGUUGUUCAUACAGUCAGGCAAAGUGUAGAGACAGUUCUAUUGAUCUAGAAUCAAUAUGUACUUGUGUUCAUCCUAUGAUUCAUACUCCAGUUACUCCUGAUUUACCGACAACGUCAGUUACUUCUGAUUUACCGACAACGUCAGUUACUCCUGAUUUACCGACAACGUCAGUUACUCCUGAUUUACCGACAACGUCGUCAACCUUGACUCCAACGCAAGAGUUUAUUACAACUUUGGCUACAGCUAAUUUUUCUACGCAACCUAAAGUAUCACCAACAGUAAAACCAACAAUGGCUCUACCAACUCAAAAUGUAACAACACAGGAUGCGCUAAUUUCUUUAUUUUGCGAAAAUAAGGAUAUUACUUGUUCAAAAGACCCGGAUCCUAUGUGUGGAUCUGAUAACACAACGUACAAUAACAGAUGCGAGUUCAACAAGGUUAAGUGUAACAAUUCGAAUCUUUCGAUUGUUCGGGAAGGAGAUUGUUGACAUAAAUGUUAUCCACGAGGUCAUAACCUUUUGCAUAUACUUAAUAAAAAAAAUAACAUUAAACGAGAGAA